AUUGGAUAUAAUUUUCAUUAAUGCUGUUUAGCUCAUGAAAAAAAAUUUUGAGUAUUAAUCAUCUUUCAAAAUAUACUUGACAAAGAAUGACACAGUGGGUGAAGGAAUUCCCAUAUUUAGGUUGCUUUUAAGAGCAAUGCAAAAUGAAAUAUCUUAAUCUGCCUCAGAUAUAAUUAGGGGAAAAUGUACUCACAUUAGAGGAUUUCUAACUGUUUAAUUUGCUGUUUUCAAAGUCUGGGAACAGUGGCAUACACCCAUAAUCCCAGCAACUUGGGAGUCUGAGGCAGGAGGAUCGAAAAUGUGAGGCCAACCUCCAGCAAUUUAAUUUACUAAGACUGCCUCCAAAUAAAAAAGAGAGGUGGUAAAGAACAUUUGCCUAAGCAUGCACCAGGCCAUGGGUUUGAUUGACAACACCAGAGGAGGUGAGAAAAAAUAAAAAAGCUUUUAGUAUCAAAAAGACCAGGAAAUGGCAUGCAAUUAAGUGUACAUGACUUUUUCUUGGGGUGUUAUCAUUUAUAUUUAUUAUUUAUUUAUUGUUGUGCUUAAUAGCUGAGCCACAUUCCACAUUCCAAACCCCCACCCCCUUUUUGGAGAUAAGGUCUCGAUAAGUUGCUUAGGGCCUCACUAAGUUGUUGAGGCUGGCUUACCUUACUUAGCCUGUGGAGUUGCUGGGAUUACAGGCCUCUUAAAGCCAUUUAUUAUUAUUAACAAUAAUAUUUAUUUACUAUUAUUAAAUUUUGUUACUAGGGAUUUAACCCAGGGGUGCUUUACCACUGAGCUACCUCCCUCCCUAGCCCUUUUUAUUUUUGAUUUUGAGACAGGUUCUCACUAUGUUGCUGAGUCUGGCCUUGAACUAGCAAUCAUCCUGCCUUAGCCUCAUGGAGUUGCUGGAAUUAUAGGCAUGUGCCACCAUGCCCCAGUGCCAUUUAUUUUAAAUGGUAUUGGCUACCUGGCCAUGUUAUGGCUACACAGGCCUGUUAUCUCAG
This 986-nucleotide long non-coding RNA is filed under the name Marmota monax (woodchuck). The record is from RNAcentral. Lineage: Eukaryota; Metazoa; Chordata; Mammalia; Rodentia; Sciuridae.